RNAcentral lists this ribosomal RNA (275 nucleotides) under uncultured bacterium. RNAcentral's name for it is "partial 16S ribosomal RNA". It matches the Rfam family "Bacterial small subunit ribosomal RNA", at positions 524 to 774 of the family's 1533-position model. The record is from RNAcentral.
UACGUAGGGUGCAAGCGUUGUCCGGAAUUAUUGGGCGUAAAGAGCUCGUAGGCGGUUUGUUGCGUCGGCUGUGAAAUCCCGAGGCUCAACCUCGGGUCUGCAGUCGAUACGAGCAAACUAGAGUGUUGCAGGGGAGACUGGAAUUCCUGGUGUAGCGGUGAAAUGACGUAGAGAUCAGGAAGAACACCGGUGGCGAAGGCGGCCUGCUGGGGUGGAAGACGAGACUUCGGUCUGUCGGCUGACGCUGGAGGCGCGACAGCGUCGGGGAGCAAACA